UACGUAGGGUGCAAGCGUUGUCCGGAAUUAUUGGGCGUAAAGAGCUCGUAGGCGGCUUGUCGCGUCUGCUGUGAAAACUCGGGGCUUAACCCUGGGCCUGCAGUGGGUACGGGCAGACUAGAGUGCGGUAGGGGAGACUGGAAUUCCUGGUGUAGCGGUGAAAUGCGCAGAUAUCAGGAGGAACACCGGUGGCGAAGGCGGGUCUCUGGGCCGUAACUGACGCUGAGGAGCGAAAGCAUGGGGAGCGAACAGG
RNAcentral lists this ribosomal RNA (253 nucleotides) under uncultured bacterium. RNAcentral's name for it is "partial 16S ribosomal RNA". It matches the Rfam family "Bacterial small subunit ribosomal RNA", at positions 524 to 776 of the family's 1533-position model. The record is from RNAcentral.